Molecule: small RNA, 289 nt
Filed under: Moelleriella libera RCEF 2490
Lineage: Eukaryota; Fungi; Ascomycota; Sordariomycetes; Hypocreales; Clavicipitaceae
Description: Aschersonia aleyrodis RCEF 2490 5' ureB small RNA
Rfam family: 5' ureB small RNA
Source: Rfam by way of RNAcentral
UUGCCUGCUGCGGACAAAUGUAGUGAAUAUGCGUAUCUAUGCCGCCGGCUGUCACGAUUUUGCCCUCGCCAGCUACGACGUCAGUGCAGCUGCCGACUAUCAUGUUGGGAGACACCCCAUCCAUGACGUCCGGAUUGCCAGCCUUACCGAUGCCAACAAUCAGACCCUCCUUGAUGCCGAUAUCUGCCUUGUAAAUGCCGGUCCAGUCGACAAUGAGCGCAUUCGUCACGACCGUGUCCAGCGACUCUGCAUCAGACCUCCCUGUCGCCUGGCCCAUGCCCUCCCUCAG